UUUCCUCUAUUUCAGAGGAAACUC
RNAcentral lists this small nuclear RNA (24 nucleotides) under Arabidopsis thaliana (thale cress). RNAcentral's name for it is "snRNA_08195". Lineage: Eukaryota; Viridiplantae; Streptophyta; Magnoliopsida; Brassicales; Brassicaceae. The record is from RNAcentral.